AAUCAUCUCGCUUGAAUAGUUUCAGGAUCCACACAUAUUGAGAGGAGCAGCAAAGAAAGUGAAGAAAAACGUUUGUACCAUCUUAUGCCUUCUCUAUCAGAUCCCUUCAAGACACAAAAUAUCGGACCUUUGCUGCCUAGGAAGACCUUGAUUAUAGUUGUUACCUUUGAACCUUGAGACUCGUCAAUCAUUGAGACGCAAAGGGUUUGGACAGAAAACACUGCUUAUUUGAAAUGUAUAGGGUGAAGGGAAUGUUGUCUCUCUGCUUUGUGUUUCACAGGUGGCAGACCAUUAUGACCCGAGUCAGUCUUGGAGAGGUGUGUUUCUUUUCUUAUUCCUUUCAUGACUGUUGCAACAAUGUAUUUGGAUAUGGGGGUAUCUCUUGUGAACAUUUUAACCCAUCAGGUACAUAGAAGACGGCUUCAAGACACAAAGCUUCUCAGUCGUAAGACUUUUUGAUUAUGUAUGUUCUACAAUAAAACCCAUGUGAUUUAGGAUUAACGUAGGAAUACAUUUAGAAGUUGUGUAUGUGGAAGGAAAUGCCUGUGUGUCUAUUGCUUUACUCGACAUGUCUCAGCCUUGUCUUGUGGAAAAUGAAUCUUGGGCAACAGGGUUGUCAGCAGGCGUAAGGUAAGCAAAAUGAUCUUGCUUGAAUAGUUUCAGGAUCCACACAGAUUGAGAGGAGCAGCAAAGAAAGUGAAGAAAACAGUUUGUUCCAUCUUAUAUAGGAAGACAUUUGGAAGUUGUGUUUGCGGAAGGAAAGGCCUGUGUGUCUAUUGCUUUACUCGACAGAUGUCGCAGCCUUGUCUUGUGGAAAAGUGAAUCUUGGGCAACAGGGUUUUCAGAAGGUGUAAGGUAAGCAAAAUGAUCUCGCUUGAUUGGUUUCAGGAACCACAAAGAUUGAGAGGAGCGGCAAAGAAAGUGAAGAAGAAAGUGUGUACCAUCUUAUGUAGGAAGACAUUUGGAAUUUGUGUUUGCGGAAGGAAAGAAAGGCCUGUGUGUCUGUUGCUUUACUCGACAGAUGUUGCAGCCUUGUCUUGUGGAAAACUGAAUCUUAGCAACAGGGAUUUCAGCAGGUGUAAGGUAAGCAAAAUGAUCUUGCUUGAAUAGUUUCAGGAUCCACACAGAUUGAUAGGAGCAGCAAAGAAAGUGAAGAAAAAAGUUUGUACCAUCUUAUGUAGGAAGACAUUUGGAAGUUGUGUUUGCGGAAGGAAAGAAAGGCCUGUGUGUCUGUUGCUUUACUCGACAGAUGUUGCAGCCUUGUCUUGUGGAAAAGUGAUUCUUGCGCAACAGGGUUUUCAGCAGGUGUAAGGUAAGCAAAAUGAUCUCGCUUCAAUAGUUUCAGGAUCCACAAAGAUUUAGAGGAGCAGCAAAGAAAGUGAAGAAGAAAGUGUGUACCAUCUUAUGUAGGAAGACAUUUGGAAGUUGUGUUUGCGGAAGGAAAGGCCUGUGUGUCUAUUGCUUUACUCGACAGAUGUCGCAGCCUUGUCUUGUGGAAAAGUGAAUCUUGGGCAACAGGGAUUUCAGCAGGUGUAAGGUAAGCAAAAUGAUCUUGCUUGAAUAGUUUCAGGAUCCACACAGAUUGAGAGGAGCAGCAAAGAAAGUGAAGAAAAAGGUUUGUACCAUCUUAUGUCUUCUCUAUCAGAUCCCUUCAAGACACAAAAUAUCGGACCUUUGCUGCCUAGGAAGACCUUGAUUAUAGGUGUUACCUUUGAACCUUGAGACUCGUCAAUCAUUGAGACACCAAGGGUGUGGACAGAAAACACUGCUAAUUUGAAAUGUAUAGGGUGAAGGGAAAGUUGUCUCUCUGCUUUGUGUUUCACACGUGGCAGACCUUUAUGACCCGAGUCAGUCUUGGAGAGGUGUGUUUUUUUUCUUAGUGCUUUCAUGACUGUUGCAACAAUGUAUUUGGAUAUGGUAGUAUCUCUUGUGAACAUUUUAACCCAUCAGGUACAUAGAAGACGGCUUCAAGACACAAAGCUUCUCAGUCGUAAGACUUUUUGAUUAUGUAUGUUCUACAAUAAAGCCCAUGUGAUUUAGGAUUAACGUAGGAAGACAUUUAGAAGUUGUGUAUGUGGAAGGAAAGGCCUGCCUGUGUGUCAAUUGCUUUACUCGACAGAUGUCGCAGCCUUGUCUUGUGGAAAA
Long non-coding RNA from Spea bombifrons (plains spadefoot toad), 2145 nucleotides. RefSeq lists it as uncharacterized. NCBI's taxonomy places the organism in Eukaryota, Metazoa, Chordata, Amphibia, Anura, Pelobatidae. The record is from RefSeq and is a predicted model, not a curated record. The transcript is spliced from 2 exons.